This 200-nucleotide unclassified non-coding RNA is filed under the name uncultured fungus. RNAcentral describes it as "sequence contains ITS1". Lineage: Eukaryota; Fungi. The record is from RNAcentral.
UUAACUAUUAUAUAGUACUCAGACGACACUAAUAUUCAGAGUUUGGGGGUCCUCUGGCAGGCACACACUAGCCGAAGCCAGUGGUUGAACCGGGGCCCAACGGCCUGCCAAAGCAACAAAGGUAUAAAUACAUAGGGUGGGAGAUCUACCCAAAGGGCAUGAACUCUGUAAUGAUCCCUCCGCAGGUUCACCUACGGAGA